RNAcentral lists this ribosomal RNA (433 nucleotides) under uncultured bacterium. Its description in RNAcentral is "partial 16S ribosomal RNA". It matches the Rfam family "Bacterial small subunit ribosomal RNA", at positions 29 to 507 of the family's 1533-position model. The record is from RNAcentral.
AGCGAACGCUGGCGGCAGGCCUAACACAUGCAAGUCGAACGGACCCUUCGGGGUUAGUGGCGGACGGGUGAGUAACACGUGGGAACGUGCCUUUAGGUUCGGAAUAGCUCCUGGAAACGGGUGGUAAUGCCGAAUGUGCCCUUCGGGGGAAAGAUUUAUCGCCUUUAGAGCGGCCCGCGUCUGAUUAGCUAGUUGGUGAGGUAACGGCUCACCAAGGCGACGAUCAGUAGCUGGUCUGAGAGGAUGACCAGCCACACUGGGACUGAGACACGGCCCAGACUACUACGGGAGGCAGCAGUGGGGAAUCUUGCGCAAUGGGCGAAAGCCUGACGCAGCCAUGCCGCGUGAAUGAUGAAGGUCUUAGGAUUGUAAAAUUCUUUCACCGGGGACGAUAAUGACGGUACCCGGAGAAGAAGCCCCGGCUAACUUCGUG